RNAcentral lists this long non-coding RNA (277 nucleotides) under Physcomitrium patens. RNAcentral's name for it is "long non-coding RNA (PPAT_LNC001430)". Lineage: Eukaryota; Viridiplantae; Streptophyta; Bryopsida; Funariales; Funariaceae. The record is from RNAcentral.
AAUUCAAUUAAAUUUUCAAAUAAAUUAUAAAAACAAUGAAAAAAAGUCCUAAGUAAAUUCUAAUUGAAUCUUAAUUAAAUAUUAAAUAAAUCCUAAAAAAAUUCUACACAAAUCUUAAGCAAAUCUUAAUCAAACUAUAAAAAAAUCUUUAUCAAAUCUUAAAAAAAAUCCUAGACAAAUCUUAGAUAAAUCCUUAUUAAAUCCUAAAAAAACCCUAAAAAAAUCCUAAACAAAUCUUAAAUAAAUCUUAAUUAAAUUUUAAAAAACCCUAAUAAAA